GCUAUUUUUAAAUAAAUCAUAUUUAUGAGUGAUUUGUGAAUGUAAUUAUCAUAAAGAAAGAAAAAUGAAAAAAAAAGUUAUUAAAAUGAGCAAAUUUAUUUAUUACUAUAUCAACUAUAAAAAAGAAAAGAAUAAUUUUAAUUAAAAUUCUUAAAUCUCUCAUCUCUCAUUCGAAAUCACUACCCUUCCCCUGAAAAAAUUAAAAUCACUC
RNAcentral lists this long non-coding RNA (211 nucleotides) under Linum usitatissimum (flax). RNAcentral's name for it is "long non-coding RNA (LUSI_LNC002463)". The record is from RNAcentral. Lineage: Eukaryota; Viridiplantae; Streptophyta; Magnoliopsida; Malpighiales; Linaceae.